AUUGAACGCUGGCGGCAGGCCUAACACAUGCAAGUCGGACGGUAGCACAGAGGAGCUUGCUCCUCGGGUGACGAGUGGCGGACGGGUGAGUAAUGUCUGGGAAACUGCCUGAUGGAGGGGGAUAACUACUGGAAACGGUAGCUAAUACCGCAUAACGUCGCAAGACCAAAGAGGGGGACCUUCGGGCCUCUUGCCAUCAGAUGUGCCCAGAUGGGAUUAGCUAGUAGGUGGGGUAACGGCUCACCUAGGCGACGAUCCCUAGCUGGUCUGAGAGGAUGACCAGCCACACUGGAACUGAGACACGGUCCAGACUCCUACGGGAGGCAGCAGUGGGGAAUAUUGCACAAUGGGCGCAAGCCUGAUGCAGCCAUGCCGCGUGUAUGAAGAAGGCCUUCGGGUUGUAAAGUACUUUCAGCGGGGAGGAAGGUGUUGUGGUUAAUAACCGCAGCAAUUGACGUUACCCGCAGAAGAAGCACCGGCUAACUCCGUGCCAGCCGCCGCCGUAA
RNAcentral lists this ribosomal RNA (506 nucleotides) under uncultured bacterium. RNAcentral's name for it is "partial 16S ribosomal RNA". It matches the Rfam family "Bacterial small subunit ribosomal RNA", at positions 30 to 523 of the family's 1533-position model. The record is from RNAcentral.